This is a non-coding RNA of Oryza barthii, 191 nucleotides long. The record is from Rfam. Lineage: Eukaryota; Viridiplantae; Streptophyta; Magnoliopsida; Poales; Poaceae.
AAUAAAUACAGUUUUGUAAUGUUUAUGUCCAACAUUUGAUCACUAGUCUUAUUUGAAUUUUUUAUUUGUAUUUUUAUUGUUACUAGAUGAAAAAACAUGAAUAAUACUUUAUGUGUGACUAAUUCUUUUAAAUUUUUUUAAUAAGAUGGAUGGUAAAAUGUUGGAUACAGAUAUCUAAUGCUGCACUUAUU